This is a long non-coding RNA of Rhipicephalus sanguineus (brown dog tick), 2605 nucleotides long. RefSeq lists it as uncharacterized. The record is from RefSeq and is a predicted model, not a curated record. Lineage: Eukaryota; Metazoa; Arthropoda; Arachnida; Ixodida; Ixodidae. The transcript has 3 exons.
GUUUAUGACUUCUUGCAGCAUGCAUUGUUGUACAGGGAUGUUAGCGUUUUCAUAAAUGCAAUGCAUGGUGCCUGAAGAAUAUAGCGGCCCACUUUAAAAUUUAUAACUUCAUGAUUUCAGUAUCUGGGACAGACUUUACUGUAUACGGUUUGUUUCUGGAAAGCUUCAACCUAUCUUGCAAUUCUUCAAGGCCAAUACUGAAUUUGCUGUGUACAUUUGGCUGCACAUUCUCAUCACUUAUGCUAAACAACAACAGGCUUGAGUGAUGUGUGGAAUUCUUGUCAAUCAAUUUUAUUGAUUACCUCGGACGAUCUAUUCUACUUCCCACAGUUAUUGGGUGCUUUGUGUGCAUGUGCUAUGCAUGCUGGAAAUGAAAACAGGGAAUGCAGCUGGCAGCAUCAACGAGUACAAUGCCCAUAGGCUAUUAUGAGGUGCGAAAUGUUGCCACUGCUAUAAUUUACAUUAUGUGUGCAUGGUACAGCUGAUUGUGUAAUUUAGCACUUUCCAGCUACUUACGCAGUUGGAGCAGAUGUCGAUCAUGUUUACUGUGGUAUGGCACGGCCACCAAGUUCGUGCAUUCUGCAUACCAGGAAACCUGACACGAAGCAACGUAUUGCUGUGAUGGCAGCUAAGUGAGAACGAAUGAGUUUGUCUUCUCUGUCCAUUUGUCAAUACCAUUACACAGGCUUGUUAAGUGCAUUCAAGCGGCUUUAGCAAUGCACUUGCAGCUACAGAGCCAGUAAAGGCAGCCAAUUUCAUCAUCAGAGUUCACUCUGCAAAUCCCACUUUCCAUAAAGGGCAUUGUUUUGUGAUAGCUUAAGGUCAAAACUUGCUCAAUUAAACACUUCUUGGUGUCUGACAUUACAUGAAUUAUGAUAAUUGUUAUAUCUCAUGUGAAAUUAUGCCAUUGUUUUUUUUUUCAUAUUCUUACUUUGCAUACACACUUUACGACUGCACCCUCCCCAACCGAAUCUUUACUAGUGCUACAUUCUGUUAUGGGUGAAAACAAUUAUUGAACUAAAAACCAGGCCAAGGAAAGCAGUAUGAUGCCCUGUAAUGUAGGAGGAUGCCGCUAUUGCAGUGUUUAGUCUAGAGCUGAAUUUAAUGAGAAAGGGCAGCAAUGUAGGUCAUCUGUCGAUAUUUGCAGACCAUAAUUGUGUUGUGGUCAUUUUGUUAUCGCAGGAAGCAUCUUCAAAAAGCAGUGCUACAAGGAUGUGAGCAGCAGUUUCCCUUCAACGAACGGGUCAAAUUCAUGGAAGCCACGUGCCUGCUGCUUCUGGCCUACACAAACAUGCAGCCACCAUAGUAAAGUUCUUGCAAAGACAUUCUACACGAACUUGCCCAAAGGCGGAAGGAAGGCACGCACAGAUGGACGCACAGAAAUCAUGGGGCUGCCGUAGAAGCUGUGAAUGAGCAUUAACCUACGUACAGAAAGGAGCGAAGUGGAGCUGUCCAUGGGCCGUGCACACAGUUUCAUAAGCAAGCUUGCAACACUUUUGACAAAUAUGUUCCUGAAUACAUCUGCCAAAGUGGCAUUUAAAGAAGCAUGUAGUAGUGUACUUCACUGUUUAUUUGGCAUGAAGCAGCAGGUAUGCUUCCGUCAUCAGCAAGUUCACACAGUACAGUGCAUCUACACAUGGCAUGCUACCCCCACAUCUACCAGCUCGGGAUGUGUAGCUUGAUUGUAAAAUGUUUACUUUGACUUAACACAACAAUUAUUAACAAAAUGACAUGAAAGUUUUGCCACCUAUGCAGGCGACAUUCUCAGUAUACGCUGCCAAAUAUAAGCGGAGUUUGACCAGUCCAUUAGUCGCACAUUUCCUUGUAAACAUCUCGUAGAGGGCCGCUGUUGUUGUUGCAAGCCAAUGCGCCGUGAUGAAUGAACCAUGAUUCCAAGAUUUUUCUUUUCCUCCGACCUUUGUACACGAGGUAGCAUCGUCGAAUUGAUUAGGUCAAAGUUAUGCCUUGUCAUUCAGCAGCGUUCAACAAGCUCCGUUUUAGAACAUGUUGCAUGGGUGGUUUUCGCAACAUCCUCUUUGUGUUCUUUAACCUUCGAUUACCUUCUUCAACCCAUUUCGCCUAUGCAAGUUGUGUCGCAAUCCCCACAUUGUACUUCGUAGAUGAUCCCGCUCUAAUCUUCGGCGGUGUUUGUGUAUACCUUGUCCUUAGGACAUGUGUUCACAAAGCCCAAAGACCGCACACCUGCGGAUGAUUAGAGCAGGGUACUCUACAGAGUACGUUGUGGGGUUCACGACACCACUUACAUCGGCGAAUUGGGCAGGAAAAUGCCAAAGACGUUCAAAGAACACAAAGUGGGAAUGUUGCUAAAGCCACCCAUGGAGCGCAUUUUAAGACAGCUUGUUGAAUACUGCUAGACGACAGGUUAUAGCUUCGACCUUAACAAUGCGACGAUGCUGGCUCAGGAACGAAGGUGGAGGAAAACUAUUGGAAUUAUGGUUCAUGCGUCAUGAAGCAUCUGCUUGAAACAACAACCACAGACCCAUACCGAACGUGUACGUGGACGUAUGUGGCUAGUGGACUGGUCGACCUCCGCUCACUUGUUGCCAGCGUAUACUGAGACUGCCACCUGCAUAGGUGGCAAAGC